UACGGAAGGCAGCAGGGGGAAGUAUUGCACAAUGGGCGGCAAGCCUGAUGCAGCCAUGCCGCGUGUAUGAAGAAGGCCUUCGGGUUGUAAAGUACUUUCAGUCGUGAGGAAGGUGUUAAGGUUAAUAACCUUAGCAAUUGACGUUAGCGACAGAAGAAGCACCGGCUAACUCCGUGCCAGCAGCCGCGGUAAUACGGAGGGUGCGAGCGUUAAUCGGAAUUACUGGGCGUAAAGGGCACGCAGGCGGUUAAUUAAGUUGGAUGUGAAAUCCCCGGGCUUAACCUGGGAAUGGCAUUCAAGACUGGUUAGCUAGAGUCUUGUAGAGGGGGUUAGAAUUCCAUGUGUAGCGGUGAAAUGCGUAGAGAUGUGGAGGAAUACCGGUGGCGAAGGCGGCCCCUGGACAAAGACUGACGCUCAUGUGCGAAAGCGUGGGGA
RNAcentral lists this ribosomal RNA (435 nucleotides) under uncultured bacterium. RNAcentral describes it as "bacterial SSU rRNA". It matches the Rfam family "Bacterial small subunit ribosomal RNA", at positions 340 to 767 of the family's 1533-position model. The record is from RNAcentral.